GGUGGAGCGAUUUGUCUGGUUAAUUCCGAUAACGAACGAGACUCUGGCCUAUUAAAUAGACGAUAUAUUUAAAAGUAUAUCGCGCUUCUUAGAGGGACAAGCGGCGUCUAGCCGCAUGAAAUAGAGCAAUAACAGGUCUGUGAUGCCCUUAGAUGUCCGGGGCUGCACGCGCGCUACACUGAAAGAAUCAGUGUGCGUUACGCCUAGUUCGGAAGAACCGGGUAACCCAAGUAAAUUCUUUCGUGCUUGGGAUAGGGAAUUGCAAUUAUUUCCCUUAAACGAGGAAUUCCCAGUAAAUGCGGGUCAUAAGCUCGCGUUGAAUACGUCCCUGCCCUUUGUACUGCGGCGGUCGUCGACGACGGCGCUAGUG
Molecule: ribosomal RNA, 370 nt
Filed under: Nematoda environmental sample
Lineage: Eukaryota; Metazoa; Nematoda
Description: SSU rRNA
Rfam family: Eukaryotic small subunit ribosomal RNA
Source: RNAcentral